RNAcentral lists this ribosomal RNA (438 nucleotides) under uncultured bacterium. RNAcentral describes it as "bacterial SSU rRNA". It matches the Rfam family "Bacterial small subunit ribosomal RNA", at positions 30 to 467 of the family's 1533-position model. The record is from RNAcentral.
AUUGAACGCUGGCGGCAUGCCUUACACAUGCAAGUCGAACGGCAGCACGGGGGCAACCCUGGUGGCGAGUGGCGAACGGGUGAGUAAUACAUCGGAAUGUACCCAGUAGUGGGGGGAUAACUAGUCGAAAGAUUAGCUAAUACCGCAUACGCACUAUGGUGGAAAGCGGGGGAUCGCAAGACCUCGCGCUAUUGGAGCAGCCGAUGUCCGAUUAGGUAGUUGGUGGGGUAAAAGCCUACCAAGCCUGCGAUCGGUAACUGGUCUGAGAGGACGACCAGUCACACUGGGACUGAGACACGGCCCAGACUCCUACGGGAGGCAGCAGUGGGGAAUUUUGGACAAUGGGGGAAACCCUGAUCCAGCAAUGCCGCGUGUGUGACGAAGGCCUUCGGUUGUAAAGCACUUUGGCGGGACGAACGGACGCUUCUAAUACAGAGU